Haemorhous mexicanus (house finch) is the source of this 11173-nucleotide long non-coding RNA. RefSeq lists it as uncharacterized. The transcript has 4 exons. Lineage: Eukaryota; Metazoa; Chordata; Aves; Passeriformes; Fringillidae. The record is from RefSeq and is a predicted model, not a curated record.
GGAUUUGGGUGUCCCAGUCCCAAACACAGCAUUUUCAGGCGCAGGGUGGGAUUCUGGGCACUGCCCUGUGCAGGGCCAGGGCUUGGACUCCAUGAUCCUGGUGGGUUCCUUCCACCCAGGAUGUUGAGAUUCUGUGAGAUGGGCUGGGAGACUCCAUCCCCAGAGGCAUUCCAUUGUCCCAGUGUCCUGUUUGGGCCUUCAGCCACACCUGAGUGCCCCCAGGGCCCCUGAUCCGAGCAUCCCUGUGCAUCUUCUCCAAGGAACCUGGCCAGGGAGGAUGUGGGGAGAUAUUUAAUAGUACUGUGAUUUGGGUUUAAGCACUUUUCUCCAUAAGAGCAAAUGGAAGGAUUGUUCCUGUUUGGAUCUCCUGAGUGUUCUGUACAGCCUUGGUAUAAGGUCGAGGAGGGAGCGCAAUUCCAGGGGAAACAUGAGGUCAGUGAAGCUUUAGCUCCAGCCUGGCAAUUAAUUUCACAGAAUCCCAGGGUGGUUUGGGUUGGAAGGGGCCUUAAAGCUCAUCUCAUCCCACCCCCUGCCAUGGGCAGGGACACCUUCACUAGCCCAGGGUGUUUCAACCUGGCCUUGAACACUUCCAGGGAUCCAGGGGCAGCCACAGCUUCCCUGGGCACCCUGUGCCAGGGCCUCCCCACCCUCCCAGGGAACAACUCCUUCCCAAAAUCCAUCCUUAUUGCUGUCAGAGUGGCUGAGUUCCCUGUGUCUGUGUGUACAGGUGCCCCCGAGGCACAUGGAUUUCAGCACAGCUCCAUGGAUGCAGACAUCCCAGAACAAAGGAGCAGGCCCUGAGUAUUUUGGGGAAGGGAGAUAAUAAUAAGCCAGUUUGGCACAGCUCUUUCCUAAGCCUGGCAAGUCAACCCUGACAAUGUAAACAGCUCUUUCAGGGUGAAAUGUUGCUUUUCAGUUUCACAAAUCUGCUGAUCGAGCUCUCUGCCAAGGCGUGGUGUGAAUGAGGUGCCCUAUAUUUUCUUGCUCGCCUGUCCUGCCCUUUUCCUGCAAAAAGAAGAUAACUGCUGGCUCUGCAGGGCUGGCCUGCAGCCUGGGCAGCAGCAGUGGUGCUGUGCUCCGCUGUCAGAGCUGCCCUGAGCGCCGAGGUGCGGGAGCAUCUCCAGAUCCCUCCUGCCAGGAUCCUCCAGGACUUGCGCAAGCUCUUCUGGGGAGGAGGGGGAGCGGGGCAGUUUCCUUCCCGGGGUUAAUGUCAGCCCUCAGGAAUCCUCUGCCCCCUUCAGCUUUGCCCUGCACACCCCAGCUCCCAGCUCUGAAGUUUGGGAAUGCCGACUUCUAACUCCUGACCUCCCACACGACUCCAAUUCCAAGAAACGAUGCCCUAAAUCUGCUGGCAGUAACAGCUCGCUGAUUCCUCCAGCAUGGCUUGUUAAAAGAUCUGAAUCUACUAAUAGGAAUUGGCCUGAUAAAAGGGAUUUUUUUUCUAUUUUUUUUUUUUUUUUACCUCCUCACUUAGCGGCUACACUCAGCCCGUGGAAUCUAGAAAUUAAAUUGGCUUUUUGUCAAGCCUCUUCUAUGCAACAGCAGUGGGACCCCUGCAGUGCAGUGCAGUGUUUCCAAUUAAAUUUUGGGGUAUGUUGCUAAUUUUUGGCACAAGGAGAGAAGCAGGCCAGGCAAAUGGCAGGUGGCAGGCUGUUUUCAUAUUUCACCAGGAGCAUGGGGGAAGGGAGAGGGGAGCCGAGCUCUCUGCCAAUAAAUGUGACCUUGCAGAGCGUGAGCAGAAGAGUUUUGGCACGUGGCGGAGGAUGGAGGGCUGGGCAGGCACGACUGAGCCAGUUUACAUCCCCUCCUGCUGGGAACAAGCACGAGGGAAGCAGGGCUAGAAUAAACACUGCUCCAGCAGCCACAGCCUGCAGGUCUGGAUCUGGGCACCACUGGGUGGUGUGUGGCUGCACCCAUGCUGGUCUGUCACACUGAGGACAGCGGUGUCACCGUGCUCUGCCUCUCUGCCACUCCGCGCCGCGCUCCUCUGCCCCCAGCACAAAACCAAAGCUGGCUUUGGUUCAUUCAUUUGUUCCUAGCACAGCUAAUGCAUUCAGCAUGGCACCAGCUCUGCAGGGCCUGGGUGGUUUCUCAGAGCUGUUGCACAAUCUGCAGCUCUGUGAGUGGAGUGAGGGCAGCAACAACCAGAAGCUGCUUCCCGGGAUCUGCAUCUGUCUCAGGGUGGCUUUGCCCACCAGGACAGAGGUCUGGAGGUGUGAACUUUAGGGGUCAGAUCACAGAAUGGUUUGGUUGGAAGGGAUCUUAAAGCUCAUCUCAUCCCACAUCCUGCCAUGGGCAGGGACACCUUCCACUAUCCCAGGUGGCUCCAAGCCCCAAUGUCCAGCCUGGACUUGGACACUGCCAGGGAUCCUGGGGCAGCCACAGCUGCUCUGGGCACCCUGUGCCAGGGCCUCCCCACCCUCACAGGGAACAAUUCCUUCCCAAUAUCCCAUCUAAUACUUGCCUUCCUUCAGCUCAAACCCAUUUGCCCUCGUGCCCAGAAAUGCUGCUAUGUUUGACAAGAGCAGUCAGAGCUGGUCUGUAUUCACAUGGACCAGGAGCAGAGCAUCCACCUCGACCCAAGGGUAUGUCAGCCAGGAGAGCUUUGGCGAAAAAAGCCCCAGGGUUCAGCAUGGAGGCCUCUAAACGCUCAAUUUAGACAUCAAAUCCAAAAAUAAAAUGGUGAACGCUGUGAAAGAGGGUUGUGAGAGAUCUUAUUCCAUGUCCAUCUGGAGCUAGGUUUGCACUGAAGCUUGCAGGUGUGGUUCUUGUUACAAUUGCUGAAUGUUGUUCUGAUUGCUAAAUGUUGUUCUGAUUACUGAAUUUUGUUCCACAGCAAUGAUUUCACUGGUAAACCCCAAAGCCCUUCAUUUUGAAAAGACCAUAAGGCGAGACUAGAGACUGCAAACAAAAUUUCCAGUAGAGGAAAAGCACUGAAACAGAAAUACAAGACCAGAUUGGCAGCCUGAGAGAAGAAACCUGAGGUACCUGAGGGCCUGGACUCAUGGGAGCAUCCCAAAACACUCGUCAGUCCCUUGAGGUGUCUGUUACCCCAACAAGUGCCAGUCCCCGUGAAGCUGGUUCAGAACAAAGCUGCAGAGCAGGUGCUGGAAGGGUCAGGUGAGUAGGGCAGAAGUGACCUGCACUCAAAACUCCUCCCCUUUGUUAUGAAUGUAUAAAUAAAAUGAUGUAAACCCAAACUGCCCGGCCACGCCAAGACCUUUGCUUGGCAAAGCCUUUGCCUUACUUUUGAUGUUAGAUGAACAUCUAGUAAGCUUAAUUAAAGUUUAAUUAGUGUAAGUAGGGUAAAUGUGGUAGGUCAUAAGGCACAGCAGAUGUUAAAAUACUGUUGGCAAUAAUCAACCUGACCAAAAAGAAAAAGGGAAAAUUCCCUUCUUAAAAAAAUAAAUACCUCGAAGUGACUGGUUUAGACAUGUCUUCUCUCACAGGUAGUUUUUUUUUUACUUUCUUUCUCCAGGCAAUACUGACCAACCAGUUGAGAGCAAGUCCUGUUUCUUCACACCAGUGAAAAGAAAAAAAAAAUCAGUUUUUGUCCUUUACUGUGCUCUGGAAUUUCACCCCAAACAUUUUCUGGAGUCUGGGCAUAUGGCACAGGGAGGUGUCUCACUGCUUUCUGCUCUUCUCUUCAGUUGGGAGCCAUGGUGAGGGCUGUGGCUGCACAGCCCAGCUGAGUUUAUUAAAGAUCUGAUAAUAAUUUUUAAAGGCUCUCAGUGAAAUUCAGCAGUGCAUCACCAGUCUGGCUGGCCACUAUUGCUUAAGACGUCCUUGGCAGCUAUGGGUGAUGUUUCCUCAACUUUGAAAGGAAAUUUGGAUUUGAUUUGGGUAUUUUGACCUGCAGGUAUCUGUGUUUAUCUGUAGUGAUCCCUGUUUUUUGUCCUGUUGGGUGCUGGUGGGAGCACAACUGGGCCAUCAAGCCCUGCGGAUGAACCCUUGACCUAUUCUGGGAUGUGCUCUUGGAUCAGGAAUCCCACUCUGGCCACGAGGCUCUGGAAGGAAAGGAAAAGCUGAAGUGCCUGGGGUGCAGGGAAGCAUUUUGCUCUAUUUCCUGCCUUUGCUUAGUGCCACCUGUGUUUCCCCACUGCAGGCGUCACUGGACGUGAUCCCUCUGGAGGUGCUGCCAGACCAUUGAGUGCUCCAUCCCUGCCCUCCAGACACCCUCUUCCUGGAGGAAAGUCCGCAGCUUUGGGUUUAUUCCAUUUUUUCACCCAUGACAAAGCCUAUUUAAUAUCAGGUUUGCUGUGGGUUUGGUCCCACAAACGCCUCUGGGGCAGGUCAGUGCAUCGCCCAAGCCACCACUUGGCUGUGCCUUUGGCGUUUGCAAAAUCUCUGUUGUUCUGCUUGAAUAUCCCUCCCCACCUCAGUCCCAAAUGGUGGGAAGCAUCAGGGAAUGGUAUUGAUAAACAAUAGAUGUCUGGUGAAGACACUGGUGAUUUUCCUGGUACAAAAGGCUGCUGCAUCCUCUGUGAUAAUUCCCCCUUUUUCCCCUCCUUGUUGGCUUUGUGGUUUUGUGAUUUAUUUGUGGGCUGGCAGGCGUCCACAGCCCUGCAGGAAAUGGAUGUCUGCUCUUGUGUUUGGGGGGGCCAUAGAAAUGUGUAAUUUUCCCACUACAUUAAUUACAGACGUUUCUCCCUGGCUGGAACAGCUCCAUGGUUUCUGUGCCCUUUUGGUUUGUUCUCCCCAGCCCAGGCUGAGAGUAUUUAUAGGGAACCCCAGCUCUGACAUCCUCAGCUGAGCUGGGGGAAAGUUAAAGAACAUGGCCACAAAAACUGUAGAGGGGAAACUCUGGCCUUUUUUUACUUGAUAGUAACUCCAGGACAGCAGCAUGGCUGAGUUUUCCCUGGCUAUUCCUCCUGCUGACAUUUUCCUCAAGGAUAAAAGUGGUUUGCCCUAAGAAAACAACCCUCUUGCUAUGGAAAAGAAACUGUAGGGCAAUUUACUUUGGAAUAGCUGUGCUACCUAAUUCCUGGCUCCUGGAGAGAGACCCAGCUAGACUUGGAGCAAAGAAAGGAAACCCGAGGCAAAAUUCAGUGUGGUUGAAUCAGGUUUUGUUGGAGGAAAGGCUGGACAAGCCUCUGUGAGGCCCCAGCCCAGGGUGCCCAGAGAAGCUGUGGCUGCCCCUGGGUCCCUGCAAGUGUCCAAGGCCAGGAUGGAUGGGGCUUGGAGCACCCUGGGAUAGUAGAAGGUGUCCCAGGAGUGUCAGGGGUUGAAACUGGAGGAGCUUUGAGGCCCUUUCAACCCAAACCAGUCUGGGAUUCUAUGGUCUGGGACAGCAGUGGAGUCAAAAUCAUAAUUUCCAGCAGAUUGAAUGCACCUAUGGUGUCCUUUGGCUUGUAACGUGGGUUCUCCAAGGAUUCCUGAUGAAACAGGAAUGCCCUGCUAUGAUUUUUCUUGUUUUUAUCCUGCCAGAAGUGAGAGUGAAGGAUGUGGGAUGUCUGCAAGGACAGGACAAAAACCUGAGCCAGCCUGGUGGCAUGAAACCAGGAGGGAGGUGAGAAUCUGUGAUGGGGACAUCCAGGGGUGCAGAAUUCUGGGAUGUCACCUCCCAUUUGGAGUCAUUGCCUGGCUGUGCUGCUGCUCUGGCUCUGCUGUGAUGUGUCUCAUCCUUUCUGGGGCCAGGAAUGUUCCACCUACAGUUUCUCCCAAGGGUCCCAGCAAACCUUUGAGUAAAUCCAUCCAGAUCCACAUAAAAUUAAGCAUUUUACUGUGUUUGUCCUGCCUCAUCCUCUGUAAGCCUUGAGCACCUUCCAUGACCUCUCUCACAUUUCACUUUUAGAGCGCAGUCCACGUGUGGGCCACGAGCUCCACGGGUCGGUGUGGGCUUGUGCAGGGCUGUUAUUGCAUUCCUGUGGCUGAGGCAGCGGCUUGGGGCUGGGACAGAGCCUUCAGGAGCUGGCUUUUCUUGGGAAAGCACCUGCCUGACCAUGCGCACAGCAUGGCUGGGCCUGGACAUGCAGGCUGCUGUUACCUCUGCACCUGGUCUGGCCUUACUGAGUGGUGGAAGCUGUCCUGGUGAGGGAAGGAUGCUCUGGUGAAAUCUAUUUAAUAGAAUCCCAGAAUGGGAUUGGAGUGGAAGGCACCUUUAACUCAUCCAAUUCCACCCCCUGCCAUGGGCAGGGACACCUUCCCAUGUUGCUCCAAGCCCCAUCCAGCCUGGCCUUGGACACUUUCAGGGACCCAGGGGCAGCCAUAGCUUCUCUGGGCACCCUGGGCCAGGGCCUCACUGCCCUUAGACUAAAGAAUUUCCUUCUAAAUCAUCUCCCCAUGAUUUGAGUUUAGGCUCUAAACACCAUUAGCAGCAACAGGCUCUGUGCACUUCUCUAAAAGCAGCAGCCCCAGCAGCAAUCACUCCCUCCAUGCUCCCAGUGCUGAGCCAGAGGAGCUGCACCCCCUGCCCUCACAGAGUGUAAAUCUUAUCCACUCCCUUUUCCCUGUGGCCGGUGUGGGAGUUUAUUCACCAUUAAAGCCUUUCCUUUCAUGAAUUCACUGCCCUUGUCGGUGACAAGGAGGUGCUGCUGUGAUGCUGACAUAGCCAAACACCAUUCCGGGCACUGCAGGGGGGAAGGGAAAUCAGGGCAGGUGUAAAAGUGGGCCAGGCAUGGCACAAAAUAGAGGAGGACAAGUGUGCUCUGCUUCCAGAGGCUGGGGGAAGGUGCUGAGCAGGAACUGCAGCAGGACAUCAUGGGUGGUGGAGGGAGCCAGAGGAAGGUGCCGUGUUUUGUCCUCUCUGCAGGGAGCUGAGGGCCAGCAUGGAUUGGCCAGGAACUGGGUCAGGAUGAAAAAGGAUGAAGCAAACAGAACUGAAGUCCUCCAGCAAGGCCCUUCUCCCCCUGCCAAGCCUGUGCUGAUGCCCUGGGGCUCUUCCCUGCUCCAGCAGCCUCCUGCCAGCCCCUCAGGGAGCUGGAUGCUCCUGCAGCCUCCCUGGUGAGGGCACACAGGGGUGUGCAUGGCACAGCAGCACCCUCUGGGCACUUCCCAGCUGAGUGCCCCGCAGCAGCAUCUCCAUCCCAGCUGGGCUGGGGCAUCUCCUGUGCCCUUCCAGUGUCCUUGGCACACCCCUUGGCACGGCUGGUGGAGGGGAGGCAACGUCCAUGUGGCCACCUCGGCUGGGAGAUGAGUCAAGAGAACCCCGACUGCUGCUGGUGUUUGGUCACAGCUGCUCUGGGCACCCUGUGCCAGGGCCUGCCCACCCUCCUAGGGAACAAUCCCUUCCCAGUCUCCCAUCCAGCCCUACCCUCUGGCAGUGGGAGUCAUUCCCUGUGUCCUGUCCCUCCAUCCCUUGUCCCCAGUCCCUCUCCAGCUCUCCUGGAGCCCCUUCAGGCCCUGGAAGAGACCCUGAGCUCUCCCUGGAGCCUUCUCCUCUCCAGGUGAGCACCCUCAGCUCUGCCAGCCAGACUCACUGAGCAUCCUUGUGGCCUCCUCUGGACUCUGCUCCAAACCUGUUGGUACCAACCACUAAAUAGAGGAAAUAUUGCACUAGAUUGCCCUAGGCUCCCAUCAGGUCUGGCAAUCUGUUUUUCUUUAAGUGGGGGGGAAGAAAAGAAAGAAGACUCGCGCGCGCGCACACACACACACACACACACACACACGCUGAGAGCUACAACAAGCUGAAGUGUUUUCCUCCUGAAGAGCCCUUCCUCCCGGGAGCAGAGCAGGAGUCAAGCAGUGCUCUGCCUCCUCCAGAAGGCACUCAGCCCAUCACCUCCGUGCUCAAGGGUUCCUGGAAGCCAGGGCUGUUCGGGGACAGCAUGGGGAGGGCACUGCCAUCCUCCCAGCCGGGAUCGGGGCUGGGCAGCAGCGCCGGGGGUCUGCGGUCUGUCAGGGGCAUGCCCUCCACUAGGCGAGAAAUGCCAAGGAGAAUUAGGGAGAUGGCUGGAGGCUUGGAGUGCAAUGGGAAGCAACUGCUGUUCCCAGGCAGGCUGUGACUACCCAGCCUUGCUAAUCAGAUUUUGGGGGAUGCUCAGCUGCUCUUGCUGUAGGGAGCUCAGGGUGUGUUUUGGUGACAGGGUCUGUGUUCCAGUGGGGAAGGAGGAUGCUUCUGAUUCAAUGCCCAGAGAACUGGUUUUGUUGGUGGAACAGGGGAAAAGGCCAUUUGGAAAACUGUGCAUCCCCAUCACGGCUCUCUGCAGGUCAUUUGAAGCACUCCAGGCAAGGCUGGGUGCCCCCUGAGGGUGCCCAAAGCUAGCCUUACCCCGGCAGCUCUGCUGGCUGGGGUGACCCUGCUGCCAGAGCCGUGGGCACUUGGGCACUGUGAGCCUCAGCGUGUCAGUGCCAGCAGGAAAACCAACCACAUCCAGCACCAUCCCUCCAUCUUCACCCAGCUGGCUCCAGCCCUGCCCCCUGUUCCCAAAGCACCCUUUUGAUGCCAGGAACUGCAGUUCAGGGAUCAGUCCCUGAGCCAAGGGAAGCGGGGAUCCUUCCAACAAGGCUUUAAUUAGCAAAGGCUCAUGUGAUUUUGGUUUUUUUUUUCAUAGUUUGCUCCGUGGCGAUUCCAGCGAGGAAUAAAAGUUUACUUCCAUUCCCCAGCGCUCAGGGAAAGCAGCUUCCGUCAGCACUGCCUGUGCUCUCGGCUGUGCUGGAUAUGGCAGAUCUAUUUUUAGAAGCCAGGGUUGCCAUGGCAACCCAGUGUAUUUUUUCUGUUAAAUAUAGCAGCUGUUGCAGGGAACUCUUGUCCUUCUGGAUGUAAAGGCUGUGUUUCUGCCCUCUGACAGAGCUCAGGGUAUUAGAGGCAGAUGAGAAAGGAUGAUUAAAUAAGUGGAAGCCCAGAAAAAACCGAGGAUCUGUAAUUACACGGAGGGGUUUGGGAUGCAGCCGUGUGUGUCUGCAGCUUCUGCAUUGAAAAUGGUGUGGGGACAGGGAUAGGGGAGCUUUUCCAUGUGGGGCUCCAUGAAAGCACCCUGCCCCUCUCUCUCCAGAUGCCCAGCCUGCCUGGCUUUGGCUGUUCUGGUCUCUGCCCCUUCCAGGAGCCAGCCUGGUCCUGGCUGGGAGGGGAUGUGGGGGUGCCAAACAGGCCAUGCCAUCCGAGGGGAGGAAGGAGCCUUUUCCGGGGAAAAAAAAGCAGUUUAAUUCCUACCUGCACCUCAGGAGCCUGAAGCAGAGGUGUGUGGUGCAGGAUUGGGGCCUGGAGCUGCCUCCAUCUCCUGCUGGUGAUGGACACCUCAGUGGAAGCAGUGGGAGAGGUGCAGGUCCCAUCUCCUGCAGGGCUGGGCCAGGGCUGCAGGUGGGAAUGCUGUGGGACUGUGUUGCAUCCUAAAGCAGUUACAUUCCCCAGCUUUGGGGUUCAGUGGGGAGCAAACUGACUCUGCUUCUUUAGUUUUUAAUUUUAUUUGUUUUAAAUAUCCUGGAUCCCUGUAAGGUGCCAACACAUCCCAUCAAAGGGCUGGUUUCCAUCUCCUGGGGGGAGGGAGAAGGGGAGGAGUGGGGAGCAGGAUUGCUCAGCCAAGGGCAGCCUGUCAGCUGGGAGAUGGAGAUCUUUUUUUUAAUUAACUAGUCUUUGCCCCAUUAAACGAAGAAAGAAACCAGAGCACAGCAGAUAUGAGCAGGGCUUAGGAUCACUGAAAGUUUCCUUAAAAAGUGGAUGCAAUGACAAAGAACCAAAUUUAAACCAGCUUGAGUUUAAAGUAUCUGUGGAGGUCACUGUGACCAAGGCUUUGAGCAGGAAUAACACAUUUCUGGGAGCCUUAUCUGCGCCCUGAGCUAUCGUGAGUGGCAUCUAUUGCUGGGGAUGUUAUUGCUUUUCUGAAUUUAAUAGCAGAAGCAGUGCUUAAGCAAGCAGAAAGCUGCAGGGGAAGAGCUGCCUCUGCGGCCGUCAGGGGCUGGAGUUCACCCUGGGCCUGGUCCCCUGCAGGGUGGUUUGGAGGUAUGGGGCAUUUUGAAGAGUCAGGGGUUUAGGAGGAUGGAGGAUGGAGUCAGAUGCUGCCUGUCCCCCUGGAGCUGGAGCCUGCUUGAGCAUCCUCUAGCCGAGGGCAUAAAGACGGGGCUCAUCCCUGAGGAGGUGCUGCCCAUAACAAAGGAAGGAAAGGCUGCCAUAUCACAUUUGAAGAUUUCCUUGUAUCCUUCAGGGAAUGGGUUGACAGGGGCUUGUGGCCCAGAAAAUGUAGCUGGCAGCUGGGAGGGAGGUUCAGGGCAAUAAUUUCAGAUGCUGCUUUGGUUUAAAUCCAGCACGGGGUGGAGGGAGGGCAGUGGAGUGGGCACAGCUCCAAAAGCUGUUUGUACAUGGAAUGGUUUGGGUUGGAAGGGCCUCUAAAGAACACACAGUUCCACCCCCUGGCAUGGGCAGGGACACCUUCCUCUAUCCCAGGGUGCUCCAAGUCACAUUAGCCACAUCCCCAGUGCCAGGCAGGUGGGUCACAGGCUUCAUCUCCUCUCUGUGCUCACAGGACACCAGUCAUCCCACUGGUCCCACCGUGCUGGUGCCAGAGGCAGAGUUUCCCCAGGAAUGGGUAUUUAAUAAAACUCCUGCCUCUGCUCAUAAGCCCACUCCCCUGUGUAUUCAGGGAUGACAGGGGUGUUUAUGCUUCCUGCUUUCCCUGGACUGAUUUAUGGGUUUAUUGUAAUCCCUGCAUUGUGUGGCUGCCCCUCUCCAGGCACCAUGGGGCAGGCAGCAGUCCUGGGAGGAUUUCCCUUUCUCCCUGAGCAUUGGCUGCUCCACCCCUCAGCCUUUUGCAGGGACUUGUGUGAGGGAGGACCAUGGCAGCAUCACACUCCACCUGGGACAGUGGAAGGGGGUUGGAACAAGAUGGGAUUUAAGGUCUCUUCCAAGCCAAACCAUUCUGGGAUUCUCUGAUCCUGUGAUCCAGCCCUGAAGCACUGAAGGCUGCAGCCAGACACAGAGCUCAUCCCUGAGGAUGAGGAAGGGAGCUUGGAGCACCCAGUGUAGCAAAAAGAUGCAUCAGCACCUUCUCCCAGCUGCAGGAGAAGGAAGGAGUGCUGGGAGUUCCUUCCCCACAAGUGCAGAAGUAAGAGGAGACAGGAUCUCAAAACCUCCAGAAAUGUGUCCCAGAUCCCCCCUGUUACCAGGUCUGUACCUAACUGGGAAGAAUGUUGUGAGGAUGAUGCUCCCACCCACCAUCCCUGCCAAAGUCACUGCAAGGGCUGUUCUGGAAGUUCUGUUCUGACAUGGAGUGUUUUCAAUAUCAUUUUUUCUCCUGGGAAA